GAUGAACGCUGGCGGCGUGCCUAAUACAUGCAAGUCGAGCGAACGGACGAGAAGCUUGCUUCUCUGAUGUUAGCGGCGGACGGGCGAGUAACACGUGGAUAACCUACCUAUAAGACUGGGAUAACUUCGGGAAACAGUAGCUAAUACCGGAUAAUAUUUUGAACCGCAUGGUUCAAAAGUGAAAGACGGUCUUGCUGUCACUUAUAGAUGGAUCCGCGCUGCAUUAGCUAGUUGGUAAGGUAACGGCUUACCAAGGCAACGAUGCAUAGCCGACCUGAGAGGGUGAUCGGCCACACUGGAACUGAGACACGGUCCAGACUCCUACGGGAGGCAGCAGUAGGGAAUCUUCCGCAAUGGGCGAAAGCCUGACGGAGCAACGCCGCGUGAGUGAUGAAGAUCUUCGGAUCGUAAAACUCUGUUAUUAGGGAAGAACAUAUGUGUAAGUAACUGUGCACAUCUUGACGGUACCUAAUCAGAAAGCCACGGCUAACUACGUG
RNAcentral lists this ribosomal RNA (497 nucleotides) under uncultured bacterium. Its description in RNAcentral is "partial 16S ribosomal RNA". It matches the Rfam family "Bacterial small subunit ribosomal RNA", at positions 28 to 507 of the family's 1533-position model. The record is from RNAcentral.